UGGUUUUUCCAGUGUAGGAAGUUCAAAUUAGUCUCCCGGAUCCUGACUGGUGGGUUCCCGAAGAAAAGGGCGGGUUUCACAGGCAGCAGCUUCCGAUGUCUCCAAUGCACCUUUAACUGCAGUAACUGACCGGUGACCGGGCCCUGUCUCAGAUAACUGGCCAGGUGAAAAGGCAGGUCCCCCUCCCCCCGCCCCCGCCCAGUUGAGUGAUAUUAGCCACCCUGCUCCCUGGGAUGUUAACCAAUAGCUCAGCAGGGUGGGGCGGGAUUUCUCCAAGUGCUAUUUUAAAUGAGGCGGGGCUAUGCAAAUUUUCCCCUUCAGAGACUCUCUUUCCGGGCUGUUCCCACCCGCCCCUGACCCUGCGGCCCGCGGAGAAGCUCUGUCCGUGCAGGGAGCAGCUCCGGACCCGUCCCCAGGGCGAGGACUGGCCGCAGACGCGCAGAGACGAUGCGGUGGUGGCUCCAUUUUGCUUUCAUCGCAGCAGCGUCCAAAGGGGCCGAGGCGCAGGGGCGGCUGGUGGAGUCCGGCGGCGGGGCUGCGACCACCGGCGGCUCCAGGCGGCUCUCCUGCACGGGCUCCGGAUUCGCUUUCAGCAGCUACACCUUGUUCUGGUACCGGCAGCGCCCCGGGAAGGGGCUGGAAUGGGUCUCCUGGAUCAGCGGCACUGGCGGGAGCAAAGAUUACACUAACUCCGUGAAAGGGCGAUUCACCGUCUCCAGGGACAACACCAAGAGCCAGCUGUAUCUGCAAAUGAGCCGCCUGGGACCCGAGGACACCGCCCGGUAUCACUGUGCGGGAGACAGUGAGGGGAAGCCGGUCUGAGUUGACACAAAAACUCGCUUCGUUCAGACCAGGGGAUUCGUGAGCGUCCCGUGACUAACAUCACCCCCUGAACUCCGGUGUCCCCUGACCCGCACCACAUAGCCGGCCACUCACCCACCCACCGACCCCCUGCAGCCCCUGGGUGGCGCCCUUGUGCAGUGUCGUGGACGCUCAGGGGGCAGGGUGUGUGUCUGUGCAGGAGGGUUUCAGAGGAACAGCCGUGUUAGUCUGUAUUCGCAAAAAGAAAAGGAGUACUUGUGGCACCUUAGAGACUAACCAAUUUAUUUGAGCAUGAGCUUUCGUGAGCCACAGCUCACUUUGUUCUCUGAGCACAGGGCAGGGAUAUGAACCCAGACACCCUGGUCUGAGAGCAGGGGAAAGAUCUGAGCUCUGCUGGGUUCACUAGCUGUGACGAAGUGGGCCUGUUCUUAAUGUUUCCUCCGAAUAUUGUGGGGGUGCCUCAGUUUCCCCUAUGCAGUUCUUAAGUCUCUAGGUGGUGGGGUAAGGGUGUAUGAUCAUUGCAGAGCCCUAGAUGGCAGGUGUGUGCAGGAGUCUGGACACAGAGAAUGGCCGACACCCUGUUUCCUGGCAACUGAUGGCCUGGGCCCUUCCCCCCUGCAAGGUGAAAGCUGAAGGGUUGGAGAACAAAGGAAUCAGGUGACCACCUGGCCCAGGAAAGGAACAAAGCCCAGAGGAGGAGGGGCUGGAGGGAGUUUCAGUUUGGGGCUGCCUGGGACAUGGAGUGAAGGGCAGACGUGGUUGUCUGGCUCACUGCCCCCAAAAUGGACCCAGCUGAGGGGUCCCGUUCUCUGCACCUACAAGCUCUGUUUUAGACCAUGUUCCUGUCGUCUAAUAAACCUUCUGUUUUACUGGCUGGCUGAGAGUCACGUCUGACUGCGAAGUUGGGGUGCAGGACCCUCUGGCUUCCCCAGGACCCCGUCUGAGCAGACUCGCUGUGGGCAGUGCAGGGAGGGGCAGAGGAUGCUGAAUGCUCCAAGGUCAGACCCAGGAAGGUGGAAGCUGUGUGAGCUGUGUGUCCUGAAGACAGGCUGCUCACAGGAAGGCGACUGCCCCAGAGUCCUGACUGGCUUCAUGGGGAGCAGUUCCAGAGCAUCACCCAGGGACUCAGUGACAACCCCUCAGUCAUGUCCUUCUGGGGAAGCAGGGAGCUUAGACCCCAGCCCUGGGGUUCCCUGCGUUCCUCCACCCAGCACCAAACUGAAACUAAACCCCCCCAGCAGGCUCUCUCCUGCAGCCUUUGUCCACAUUCCCGGGCAGAGGUGUCACCUCCCCCACCUCCUCCUGGCUCAGGUUAUAGGCUCUCAGGUCUCCCAUCCCCAGGGCACAUUCCCAGGUCAACACUCCCCUAUCCCUGCUGCUUCACAUCGUCACAGGGGGGGCAUGGCGAAAAAAAAUGUGAGAACCCCUGUGUGACCCACUGCACCCUGCAGGCCACAGAACCUCCUCCCCCCCCUCCCCGCCU
Non-coding RNA from Caretta caretta (loggerhead turtle), 2305 nucleotides. NCBI's taxonomy places the organism in Eukaryota, Metazoa, Chordata, Testudines, Cheloniidae. The record is from the annotation of a RefSeq genome assembly.